GGGAAUAUUGCACAAUGGGCGAAAGCCUGAUGCAGCAACGCCGCGUGAGCGAUGAAGACCUUCGGGUUGUAAAGCUCUUUUCUGAAGGACGAGGAAGGACGGUACUUCAAGAAUAAGGAUCGGCUAACUACGUGCCAGCAGCCGCGGUAAUACGUAGGAUCCGAGCGUUAUCCGAAUUUACUGGGCGUAAAGCGCGUGCAGGCGGUUUGAUAAGUUGGAUGUUAAAGCUCCCGGCUCAACUGGGAGAGGCCGUUCAAUACUAUCAGACUAGAGGACGGUAGAGGGAGGUAGAAUUCCCGGUGUAGUAGUGAAAUGCGUAGAUAUCGGGAGGAAUACCAGUGGCGAAGGCGGCCUCCUGGACCGUUCCUGACGCUCAGACGCGAAAGCUAGGGGAGCGAACGGGAUUAGA
RNAcentral lists this ribosomal RNA (409 nucleotides) under uncultured bacterium. RNAcentral describes it as "bacterial SSU rRNA". It matches the Rfam family "Bacterial small subunit ribosomal RNA", at positions 357 to 782 of the family's 1533-position model. The record is from RNAcentral.